AGCUUCGUAGAAACCUUAUUCUGCUCUGGCUGCUCAAAGACCCUCAGCAGUAUCUACAGACAGUACUGCUGAAAGGUUGAGGUGACACCUGGAUCUGUGAAACCCCUGACUCCCUGUGCCUUCCUGAGGCUGAAGCCACGUUUGCUGUCAGUGACCACAGAGUGGAAGAUGCUAAAGACUGAAAACUUGGGGAUUUUUCUCCUGAAUCUCAAGACUCUCUGCAGCUGUACACUGUCUAUCUCUUAAAAGAGUUUCUGGGUUUAUAAAGGUUUUUACAUUCUGCAAUAUUCAUCUGUAACUCCAUUAAAAAGAGUCAUACUGUA
This is a non-coding RNA of Zonotrichia albicollis (white-throated sparrow), 323 nucleotides long. The record is from RefSeq and is a predicted model, not a curated record. NCBI's taxonomy places the organism in Eukaryota, Metazoa, Chordata, Aves, Passeriformes, Passerellidae.